Molecule: ribosomal RNA, 559 nt
Filed under: uncultured bacterium
Lineage: Bacteria
Description: bacterial SSU rRNA
Rfam family: Bacterial small subunit ribosomal RNA
Source: RNAcentral
CGGAACGUGCCUAGUAGUGGGGGAUAACUACUCGAAAGAGUAGCUAAUACCGCAUGAGAUCUAAGGAUGAAAGCAGGGGACCUUUGGGCCUUGCGCUACUAGAGCGGCUGAUGGCAGAUUAGGUAGUUGGUGGGAUAAAAGCUUACCAAGCCGACGAUCUGUAGCUGGUCUGAGAGGACGACCAGCCGCACUGGGACUGAGACACGGCCCAGACUCCUACGGGAGGCAGCAGUGGGGAAUUUUGGACAAUGGGCGAAAGCCUGAUCCAGCAAUGCCGCGUGUAGGGUGAAGGCCCUCGGGUUGUAAACUACUUUUGUACGGAACGAAAAGCUCUCUUCUAAUAAAGGAGAGUGAUGACGGUACCGUAAGAAUAAGCACCGGCUAACUACGUGCCAGCAGCCGCGGUAAUACGUAGGGUGCGAGCGUUAAUCGGAAUUACUGGGCGUAAAGCGUGCGCAGGCGGUUAUGUAAGACAGAGGUGAAAUCCCCGGGCUCAACCUGGGAACGGCCUUUGUGACUGCAUAGCUAGAGUACGGUAGAGGGGGAUGGAAUUCCGCGU